UCACUUUUCUGGCUUUUCUCUCCUGCUAAAUUAAGUAGAAAUGUUUCCUGGCAGUAAUUAAAACCUUCUGCCACUGCCAUAGCUGCUGCUGCUGCUGCUGCUGCUGCUGCUGCUGGAACCACCAUAGCCACCUUGGUUUCAUGGUUUGGCAAAAUAUUGGCCUCCACCACCACAGGGGCCAGAGCUUCUGCCUCCAAAAUUUUCUCCUUUCAUAGGUCCAAAAUGUGAAGAUUGAUUGUUGUAAUUGCCAAAGUCAUUAUAGCUUCUGUCAUCUCCAAAAUUGCUUCAACCAUUACCAAAUCUGUUAUAGCUGUCCCCAUCGCCACUAUAUCCACCACCACCUUGACUUCCACCAAAGCCACCUCAUCAGUGAAGUUUCCUUCACGAUCAAAGUUGUAGUUCCCACUAAAACCACUUCCACGACCACCACCAAAGUUUCCAGAAUCACUUCGACGUCUUUAGCUGGAUGAAGCACUAGCCGUCUCUUGCUUAGAUAGGGCUUUCCUUACUUCACAGUUGUGGUCAUUCACAGCAUGGUAUUUUUUUAAAUUUGUUUAUUAUUUUGAGAGAGAGUACAUGCAGGGAAGGGGCACAGAGAGAGAGAGAGAGAGAGAGAGAGAGAGAAUCCCAAGAAGGCUCUCACAAACAAUGAGAUCAUGACCUAAGCCAAAAUCAGAGUCAAACGCUCAACUGACUGAGCCACCCAAGAGCCCCCAGUAUGGUAUUUUUGAAUGACAAUCUUGUCCACAGAGUCAUGGUCAUCAAAUGUCACAAAAGUAAAGCCUCUCUUCCUGCCACUGCCUCAGUCAGUCAUGAUUUCAAUUACUUCCAUUUUCCCAUAAUGUUCAAAAUAAUCUCUUAGAUGAUGUUCUUUAGUGUCUAAUGCCACCAACAAAAACCUUUUUCACAGCUAAGUGGGCACCAGGUCUUUGAGAAUCUCCUCUUGAGACAGCCCUCUUUGGUACCACAACUCUUCCAUCCACCUUGUGUGGCCUUGCACUCAUGGCUGCAUCCACCUCUUCCACAGUGGCAUACGUGACAAACCCAAAGCCUCUGGCGUGCUUGGUGUUUGGAUCUCUCAUUACCACACAGUCUGUGAGUGUUGCCCAUUGCUCAAAAUGGCUCCUCAGACUCUCAUUGGUUGUUUCAAAGCUCAAACCUCCCAUGAAGAUCUACCACAGCUGUUCAGGCUCUUUGAGAGAUUCUGACUUAGACAUGUUGGUAGUGGCAGGGGAGACUUUAAUAAUACUUGUUAGCAUCCACAGGCAGAAAG
RNAcentral lists this long non-coding RNA (1273 nucleotides) under Lynx pardinus (Iberian lynx). The record is from RNAcentral. Lineage: Eukaryota; Metazoa; Chordata; Mammalia; Carnivora; Felidae.